CAGUCGAGCGGACAGAUGGGAGCUUGCUCCCUGAUGUUAGCGGCGGACGGGUGAGUAACACGUGGGUAACCUGCCUGUAAGACUGGGAUAACUCCGGGAAACCGGGGCUAAUACCGGAUGGUUGUUUGAACCGCAUGGUUCAGACAUAAAAGGUGGCUUCGGCUACCACUUACAGAUGGACCCGCGGCGCAUUAGCUAGUUGGUGAGGUAACGGCUCACCAAGGCGACGAUGCGUAGCCGACCUGAGAGGGUGAUCGGCCACACUGGGACUGAGACACGGCCCAGACUCCUACGGGAGGCAGCAGUAGGGAAUCUUCCGCAAUGGACGAAAGUCUGACGGAGCAACGCCGCGUGAGUGAUGAAGGUUUUCGGAUCGUAAAGCUCUGUUGUUAGGGAAGAACAAGUGCCGUUCAAAUAGGGCGGCACCUUGACGGUACCUAACCAGAAAGCCACGGCUAACUACGUGCCAGCAGCCGCGGUAAUACGUAGGUGGCAAGCGUUGUCCGGAAUUAUUGGGCGUAAAGGGCUCGCAGGCGGUUUCUUAAGUCUGAUGUGAAAGCCCCCGGCUCAACCGGGGAGGGUCAUUGGAAACUGGGGAACUUGAGUGCAGAAGAGGAGAGUGGAAUUCCACGUGUAGCGGUGAAAUGCGUAGAGAUGUGGAGGAACACCAGUGGCGAAGGCGACUCUCUGGUCUGUAACUGACGCUGAGGAGCGAAAGCGUGGGGAGCGAACAGGAUUAGAUACCCUGGUAGUCCACGCCGUAAACGAUGAGUGCUAAGUGUUAGGGGGUUUCCGCCCCUUAGUGCUGCAGCUAACGCAUUAAGCACUCCGCCUGGGGAGUACGGUCGCAAGACUGAAACUCAAAGGAAUUGACGGGGGCCC
Molecule: ribosomal RNA, 882 nt
Filed under: Bacillus siamensis
Lineage: Bacteria; Bacillati; Bacillota; Bacilli; Caryophanales; Bacillaceae
Description: bacterial SSU rRNA
Rfam family: Bacterial small subunit ribosomal RNA
Source: RNAcentral